RNAcentral lists this non-coding RNA (28 nucleotides) under Prorocentrum micans. Lineage: Eukaryota; Dinophyceae; Prorocentrales; Prorocentraceae. The record is from RNAcentral.
GUUUUUUUUUUUUUUUUUUUUUUUUCUU